Molecule: ribosomal RNA, 251 nt
Filed under: uncultured bacterium
Lineage: Bacteria
Description: partial 16S ribosomal RNA
Rfam family: Bacterial small subunit ribosomal RNA
Source: RNAcentral
UACGAAGGGGGCUAGCGUUGCUCGGAAUCACUGGGCGUAAAGGGUGCGUAGGCGGGUCUUUAAGUCAGGGGUGAAAUCCUGGAGCUCAACUCCAGAACUGCCUUUGAUACUGAGGAUCUUGAGUUCGGGAGAGGUGAGUGGAACUGCGAGUGUAGAGGUGAAAUUCGUAGAUAUUCGCAAGAACACCAGUGGCGAAGGCGGCUCACUGGCCCGAUACUGACGCUGAGGCACGAAGCGUGGGAGCAAACAGG